GUAACACCCCUUACCCGAGACCGUUUCCGGAAUCGAGCACGAGGCAUUACUUAGCUUAUCUUACCAAUUCGGAGCAUAAAAACUAGGUUUGAAAAUUUAUUUCAUUAUUCGCAGCAAAUCUGUCUAAUCGCGCAGCAGUUACUAAAUUAAUUAUAACUUGAGCUACAGAACUCGAAAUUUAAUCCCGUAAAUUUUCCAUGAAACUAGACUCAUAUAUCUACUCACCAUAAAAUUUUUAGAAUUUUUGGUUCAGCAAAUUAGUACAGUUUAUUAGUUAAAGUCUCCCCUGUGUCACCACCAGACUGCCCUGACCUCUAGUCACUAAAAAUAAGUUUUCUCACUAUAGGAUUUUCAUAUGAAGUUCUUACUUGUUUCUAUAGAAAAUAGACUCAUUAAGAAAUCUAAGCAUGUAAAUUUCAACUCAUAAACAUUUUUGUACAAUUUUUUAUUAUUUUCUAAACUCAGAACAGGGGACUCCAAAAACAGUUCUGACCCUAUCUUACUAAAAUUCACAUAUCUUAAAAUAUAAAUUUCUUUUUUUCUACACCGUUAUUUUUCCAUGAAAAUAGACUCAACAAGCUUUAAUUCCAUAUAUCAUUCACCCUCUAAUUCAUUUUAUACUAUCUUGGGUGAUUUUUCAAAUUCACGUCACUGUGCUGCCUGAAUUCUGUUUCUUUGCAAAAUUUUAUCCUUUCAUGAUUUCCAUGCAUAAUUUAUCACCUAAUAUUUCAUAACAACAAACACCUUCAUCCUUAAUCAUUUUAAUAACCAUACAUCAUCAAAUACUUACACAUCACUCAUUAGCAAAAUCAUCACUACAAACAUACAAAAUAACUAAAUUCCUAUACAUGCCAUAACUUAAACGUGUUUCGAUAUAAAAUACCGAGCAGUUGUAGUUGAUAGUGUGGACGAUCUCCGACUUCUUUAGGAUCCUUGAAGUAGCUUUGCAAUACUAUAAGAGAAAGAAAUAAAAGAAGUAAGCAUAAAGCUUAGUAAGUUUACUAGCAAAUAAAUAACAAUAUUUAACUUAAAUAAUUAAACUCAAUGUCUAUAUCUCUAGUUUACUCUUUAGUUAAUCUCAUACUAGUUCUCUUACUUGUUUACUUAGAAUAUUUGUGUGCAUAACUUACUCAAUCCUUGCUGCAUCGUUGAACAUCAAUUGAUAGUAUAAUAAGUUCUUAAGUCUUACAACUUACCUGAGCUUGCCAUUUAUGCUUUAAAAACAUGAUUCGUUUACAAGCCCGUUGAACUACAUUGGAAUAAUAAGGAUACUCGGGUCUCUUCUGAUAAUAACAUGCCAAAGCCAUGUCCCAGACAUGGUCUUACAUGGGAUGUUCUCGUGAUGGUGCCCAUGCCAUGUCCCAAACAUGGUCUUAUAGGGGACCUCUCAUCUCGGUGCCAACGCCAUGUCCCAGACAUGGUCUUACAUGGGACCUCUCGUCUCGGUGCCCAUGCCAUGUCCCAGACAUGGUCUUACAGGGGACCUCUCAUGAUCUUAAGGAUGCCAAUGCCAUGUCCCAGACAUGGUCUUACAUGGGAUCUCUUUACCCAAAUGUCAUGACAUUCGUAUCCAGUACCAUCCUUAUGUAUCAACGGGACUUUUAAAUUUUAAUUCUCUAUCAUUUCAUGCUUGGAUCAUCAUCAAAUAAAUUCAUAAAAUAAAUUCAUAAUUGCUGGAAAUUAACAGCAUUAAUAAUAAAUAUUGAAAUAUUGCAUUUAUUUACCGUAAACUUACCUCGGUACCAAUUAUAGCCAAAUUCACCAACUUAGUCUUCAACUUUAUUCUUCCCUUUGUCUAACCUCGAGUUUCGUACUUCUUGAUCUAAAAUAGUAAAUUUAACUUAUUUAAUAAUCACAUUCAUCAAAAUAGCCCUCGACUCUAACUUUUUCAAAAUUACAAUUUUGCCCCUAAACUUUUACAUAAUUACAUUUUUGCCCCAAGGCUCGGAAAUUAAACUUCAUCUCUUAUUCUUAUGUUUUAUAACAUUCUGAACAUUUUUCCCUUCUAUGGCAACAUCAAAUUCUAAUUUAAUCCCUUAUCAAUACUAAUUUUAUUUUUGCAUUCUAACUCUAUAUUCUCUCUUAAUUCUUACUAUAAAGUCAAUUUAAUUCCUCAAUUUCACCAUAAAUCCCUAAUUUCGGGAUUCUUUCAAUUUAAUCCCUAUCGAUUCAAAACUUAUAUUUUAUUUUACAAUUACGUUCUUUACUAACUUCUAACUUGAAAUUAAAUCAAUUUAACCCCUAACUAAACCUAUAUAUUUUUCUUUCUCAAUUCAUACCCUUAUUCUACCCAAUUUCUUGCUAAACUCAUAUUUAACUAUUUAAUUUUUAUCAUGUUUUCAUAAUUCCGAAUUUAUUUCAAAUUAAUCCCUAAAAUUCAAAACUUAUAGUUUAGUUUACAAUUCAAUCCUUUAUUCAAUUCCAAUCAAAAUUUCUAUCAAAUACAUCCCUAAUUUAACAAUUUAUUCAACAUGAACCAUGCUUAAUAAUCUACUAACUUCCAAAAUUUCAACUUAAUCAAGUAGUAUUUUGUUCUAGGAUUUCAAAAAAAAUAUCAAAAUUAAGAGAAAAUGGGAUUAAAUUGACUUACCAAAUUACUUUGAACCUUAAAACCCCAAAUUUCCCUUUUUCUUUUCUUUUCUUUCUUUCUUUCUUUCCUUCCUUCCUUCUCUGUUUCGUUUUGCUCUCUGUUUCUUUCUUUCUCCCUUCUCUGUUUUGUUUUGCUCUCUGUUUCUUUUCUUUCUUUCUUUGUCAUAUAUAUAAUAAUAUAAUAAUAUAAUAUAAUAUAAUAUAUUAAUAAUAAUAUAAUAUAAAAACAUAAUUAUUACUUACGCAUGUAUAAUAUAAUAUAUAUUUUAAAUUAAAAAUAUCUUAGAUUUUUCUUUUGUUAUGCCGCCUCAACUUUAGAAAAAGGCAUAAUUGCCUAUUUGGUCCUUUAACUUUUCUUUAAUCUAUAAUUAAACUUUUAUCCUUACUUCAAUUUAGUCCUUUUUCAUAAUUAACUAUCAAAGCGUUAAAAUUUCUUAACGAAACUUUAAUAUUAUCCUGUUGACACUCCGUAAAUAUUUUUAUAAAUAUUUACGGCUCAGUUUAUAAUAUCGAGGUCUCGAUAUCUCGUUUUCGACCCAAUUUACCUAAUAAUUUCUUUUAAAUCACAAAAUUCACUGAUUUAAAAAAUAUUUCUAAAAUCACACUUAACUUAUAAUUAUUAAUUAAUAAAUUUUUCUAACUUUUUCAUCAAUUUUAGUGAUCUCAAAUCACUAUUCUGACACUACUAAAAUUUGGGCUGUUACAACUCUUCCCCCCUAAAAAAAAAAUUUCGUCCUCGAAAUUUCUCACCUGAUACAGGCUAUUAAGUCAAAUCUUUCUUCCACCCUUUCAAUCGAAGUCCAUAAAAAUUAAUCAUAACUCAUAUCACUUCCGAAAUCAUAUCAGAACUCAUUUUAGAACUUGAUACUAUGCCUGAACUUAACUGAGUAACUCUGAUGUUCUCUUGCCAUCACUUUUUCACUAGUAGUAUGACUACUAAGAAAUUUCCAGUAAUUGUCUGUCGAAACAUAACUGAGAAACUCGAAUUAUCUUAUUUAAUACCUUUGAACAAAGACCUUGGAAACCCAUCCAGCGAGAAGAAAACAGAUAAUUUAAACCCAUUGUGGAGACCCAAAAUAUAUUGAUUCCUUCACUGAUGAUUACUCAACUUUUCACUGAAUAACCCACUCUGAUUAGAACAACUGAGUCGAUUUUAUCUAUCAGAUAAUAACAUUUCAGAAUAAUCCAUUCUUCUUGUUGUCAAAACAAUCCAGAUAUACCAUAUAUCAUAAUCCUCUCGGAACACCAAUCGAAAAUUUCCACUAAUAGCAUUUAACUCAAACGAAUUUUGACAUUCCAUUAUUGACUUGUUGACAUAAUUUCAGAAUUACCUGAGAAAUGAAAACCAAAAUACAAGUUUGAGCUCAAUCUUCCUCCAUCUAUACUUUUGCCGAUGUCAACCCUUUCACGAAAACUAGAAAGGAAUUAUAUAUAUAAUAAAACUAUUUCAAUCAUUAACAUCGAAGCUUUGAACUAUACCGAAGCCACAACCAUCAAAUAGAUUAAAAACUAUAGAGCUAUACUAGGACCGACGUUCCAACUAUAUAGAUAGAACAAUACCUCAACAUCAAUAGUGCACUCCAAAAUAGAUGAAGAAAACCGAAGUAGUCCCAAUAACAACCAGUGCAGUAAUACAACUUCUAAAAUCUGAGAUCCAUAUCACCGAGUUCCCAUGAUCAAACCAAGAUUUAUAACAGUAAUAAAUAUAAUUACCUCCGGCCAAUGAAUAUCUUGUACGGAUAAACCAUGGUUAAUAGAUAAGAUUAGACCAUAAGAAUAAUAAGAAAACCGAGAUAAUAAAAUCCAAGAUGUGAAGCUAUACUAAAUUUCCGAUAAGAAAAAACCACAUUGAAUGAUAAAGAGAUCGAUGAUAUCCCAGAGAAAAUCCAAAAGAAGAAUAUCACUUGUAAAUCCAAAAGAAGAAUAUCACUUGUACGUACUAGGAAUAGUUGUGAUAAAGACAAUAUAAAUUCCAUAUAUAUAAUUCGGAGCUUCAACCAGUAGAAAUAGAAAAUAGCUUCAUAUGAGUCUUAUCAUCAAAUCUUCCAUCGAACAUAAUAGAUUAGAAAACCAAAGAAAGAUAGAGGAAUCCCGAUCAUGAAUCAACCAGACUAAUAAUAAUUUCGUCUAACAAUACGAUUAGCCAACCUUGCUAUAUGAUAAGAAUCAUAUAUGAAAAUAAAUAAUUGCAUAUACCUCUGAGGAUAAAAGAGCAUAUAGAAUACCCAUAUAGAAUACCCAGAAGAGAUCAUUGUAAAAUACUCGACUAUAACAACUGCAUUCAGAUAUGUUUGCAAUUUUCAACACAAUCCCACUGAUUACUAAAGUCAUCAAUAAUCUCACAUUAUCUCAAUCAUUAAAGAAAUCAAUUCAGAAGAAAUUCCGAUUAACCUGCUCUUUAAAUUUUAUACCUGAGUAAGUCGGUUACUCGUGAAUAGCUUCUUCCUUAAUAGCGACAUUGCAAAUCCCAAUAAUCAUUUAAAAAAAAUCUAAUAUCCUUUCUAGAACUCUCUUUACUUGCUAUCCCAUCCACAAUUCUGACUGCAUUAUUAUUCCUUCAAUUAUUGAACUCUUCAAUUUCACACUUGUAAACUUAAUGAAUACAAUUCUUGUAAAUUCCAUUGUUCAGGUGAGGGGGUGAAGGUCGUAAAGCCUCAAAAUUUGACUCUUAUAUAUAUACUUAUAUAUAUAUACACAUAACAUGACUUUUAUCGUCAAUAUAUUCAUUACAAACAUUCAUUUCAUACCUUAUAAAUCUUUACUCAUAUAGGCAACUCCCCUUUCUCUAUCAAAUACUCAAAUAUCACUUUCAUCACUGUCGGAACUAGAUCAAUUGGAGACAUUUUUGUCUAUUAGUAAAACAUUUCUCAUUUAUCAAGGUUACUCUUUUAAGUGUAUAAAUGUAUAUUUUCAUCCUUAUCUAUAAGAAUUACUAUUUUAAAUCUCCAUACAGAACUAAAUAACAUUUACUUAUUCACAACUUUAAAUUAUUUUAUUACAAAUACAUACUUCUUUAUUCACAGCUUUGUAACUUAUUUUUCCUUUAUAAUCAUUCAUCAUUGAAUCAAAGAUAAUCUUUUAUCUUGUAACAUUUUUUUUUUUAGCAGAGGCCCAGUAGACGAAACAGAACACUUAAGAAAUAUGGGACUGAUAUAACAUCUGAUGGCACCGUCCCUUCUGCGGGAAUAGGUGCAUUACUCUCUACUUCAUCUGUACUAGCUCGUUCAGGAUCCAUAACUAUAAAAGAAAACAUUUUAAAAUCGUCAGGAGUCGUCACACUAUCAAAAUAUAUAAGUAUGGCAUGUAUAGGUAGACUCUUAUUCUUACUGAGUAUUUCCGAGAACCGACUAAACCUGCUCUGAUACCAAUAAAAUGUAACACCCCUUACCCGAGACCGUUUCCGGAAUCGAGCACGAGGCAUUACUUAGCUUAUCUUACCAAUUCGGAGCAUAAAAACUAGGUUUGAAAAUUUAUUUCAUUAUUCGCAGCAAAUCUGUCUAAUCGCGCAGCAGUUACUAAAUUAAUUAUAACUUGAGCUACAGAACUCGAAAUUUAAUCUCGUAAAUUUUCCAUGAAACUAGACUCAUAUAUCUACUCACCAUAAAAUUUUUAGAAUUUUUGGUUCAGCAAAUUAGUACAGUUUAUUAGUUAAAGUCUCCCCUGUGUCACCACCAGACUGCCCUGACCUCUAGUCACUAAAAAUAAGUUUUCUCACUAUAGGAUUUUCAUAUGAAGUUCUUACUUGUUUCUAUAGAAAAUAGACUCAUUAAUAAAUCUAAGCAUGUAAAUUUCAACUCAUAAACAUUUUUGUACAAUUUUUUAUUAUUUUCUAAACUCAGAACAGGGGACUCCAAAAACAGUUCUGACCCUAUCUUACUAAAAAUUCACAUAUCUUAAAAUAUAAAUUUCUUUUUUUCUACACCGUUAUUUUUCCAUGAAAAUAGACUCAACAAGCUUUAAUUCCAUAUAUCAUUCACCCUCUAAUUCAUUUUAUACUAUCUUGGGUGAUUUUUCAAAUUCACGUCACUGUGCUGCCUGAAUUCUGUUUCUUUGCAAAAUUUUAUCCUUUCAUGAUUUCCAUGCAUAAUUUAUCACCUAAUAUUUCAUAACAACAAACACCUUCAUCCUUAAUCAUUUUAAUAACCAUACAUCAUCAAAUACUUACACAUCACUCAUUAGCAAAAUCAUCACUACAAACAUACAAAAUAACUAAAUUCCUAUACAUGCCAUAACUUAAACGUGUUUCGAUAUAAAAUACCGAGCAGUUGUAGUUGAUAGUGUGGACGAUCUCCGACUUCUUUAGGAUCCUUGAAGUAGCUUUGCAAUACUAUAAGAGAAAGAAAUAAAAGAAGUAAGCAUAAAGCUUAGUAAGUUUACUAGCAAAUAAAUAACAAUAUUUAACUUAAAUAAUUAAACUCAAUGUCUAUAUCUCUAGUUUACUCUUUAGUUAAUCUCAUACUAGUUCUCUUACUUGUUUACUUAGAAUAUUUGUGUGCAUAACUUACUCAAUCCUUGCUGCAUCGUUGAACAUCAAUUGAUAGUAUAAUAAGUUCUUAAGUCUUACAACUUACCUGAGCUUGCCAUUUAUGCUUUAAAAACAUGAUUCGUUUACAAGCCCGUUGAACUACAUUGGAAUAAUAAGGAUACUCGGGUCUCUUCUGAUAAUAACAUGCCAAAGCCAUGUCCCAGACAUGGUCUUACAUGGGAUGUUCUCGUGAUGGUGCCCAUGCCAUGUCCCAAACAUGGUCUUAUAGGGGACCUCUCAUCUCGGUGCCAACGCCAUGUCCCAGACAUGGUCUUACAUGGGACCUCUCGUCUCGGUGCCCAUGCCAUGUCCCAGACAUGGUCUUACAGGGGACCUCUCAUGAUCUUAAGGAUGCCAAUGCCAUGUCCCAGACAUGGUCUUACAUGGGAUCUCUUUACCCAAAUGUCAUGACAUUCGUAUCCAGUACCAUCCUUAUGUAUCAACGGGACUUUUAAAUUUUAAUUCUCUAUCAUUUCAUGCUUGGAUCAUCAUCAAAUAAAUUCAUAAAAUAAAUUCAUAAUUGCUGGAAAUUAACAGCAUUAAUAAUAAAUAUUGAAAUAUUGCAUUUAUUUACCGUAAACUUACCUCGGUACCAAUUAUAGCCAAAUUCACCAACUUAGUCUUCAACUUUAUUCUUCCCUUUGUCUAACCUCGAGUUUCGUACUUCUUGAUCUAAAAUAGUAAAUUUAACUUAUUUAAUAAUCACAUUCAUCAAAAUAGCCCUCGACUCUAACUUUUUCAAAAUUACAAUUUUGCCCCUAAACUUUUACAUAAUUACAUUUUUGCCCCAAGGCUCGGAAAUUAAACUUCAUCUCUUAUUCUUAUGUUUUAUAACAUUCUGAACAUUUUUCCCUUCUAUGGCAACAUCAAAUUCUAAUUUAAUCCCUUAUCAAUACUAAUUUUAUUUUUGCAUUCUAACUCUAUAUUCUCUCUUAAUUCUUACUAUAAAGUCAAUUUAAUUCCUCAAUUUCACCAUAAAUCCCUAAUUUCGGGAUUCUUUCAAUUUAAUCCCUAUCGAUUCAAAACUUAUAUUUUAUUUUACAAUUACGUUCUUUACUAACUUCUAACUUGAAAUUAAAUCAAUUUAACCCCUAACUAAACCUAUAUAUUUUUCUUUCUCAAUUCAUACCCUUAUUCUACCCAAUUUCUUGCUAAACUCAUAUUUAACUAUUUAAUUUUUAUCAUGUUUUCAUAAUUCCGAAUUUAUUUCAAAUUAAUCCCUAAAAUUCAAAACUUAUAGUUUAGUUUACAAUUCAAUCCUUUAUUCAAUUCCAAUCAAAAUUUCUAUCAAAUACAUCCCUAAUUUAACAAUUUAUUCAACAUGAACCAUGCUUAAUAAUCUACUAACUUCCAAAAUUUCAACUUAAUCAAGUAGUAUUUUGUUCUAGGAUUUCAAAAAAAAUAUCAAAAUUAAGAGAAAAUGGGAUUAAAUUGACUUACCAAAUUACUUUGAACCUUAAAACCCCAAAUUUCCCUUUUUCUUUUCUUUUCUUUCUUUCUUUCUUUCCUUCCUUCCUUCUCUGUUUCGUUUUGCUCUCUGUUUCUUUCUUUCUCCCUUCUCUGUUUUGUUUUGCUCUCUGUUUCUUUUCUUUCUUUCUUUGUCAUAUAUAUAAUAAUAUAAUAAUAUAAUAUAAUAUAAUAUAUUAAUAAUAAUAUAAUAUAAAAACAUAAUUAUUACUUACGCAUGUAUAAUAUAA
This 8811-nucleotide long non-coding RNA is filed under the name Gossypium barbadense (sea-island cotton). RNAcentral describes it as "long non-coding RNA (GBAR_LNC014701)". Lineage: Eukaryota; Viridiplantae; Streptophyta; Magnoliopsida; Malvales; Malvaceae. The record is from RNAcentral.